UAACUUGCGGUAUGGCUACUUCAAAGCAAAUAGAAAAUAAUCCUUAAAAAGAGAAUAAAAUCUUCAGAGUUUUUAAAUUUAAAGUUUCAUGUCGAAAAAUACAUGAAUCAUUAGGUCAACCAACACAAGUGUUCAAUGAAUUGCCUAUAAUAAGUCCUAAUCUAAUUUCUAAUUCAUGAACCCUAAUAGCUAAACCCCUUUUUUAAAAAAAAAAAUUUUAAGAAGCACAAUCUACUAAAUAAAUUAUAAAAUAAUGCAUACCACAAUCCACAAAGCUCUCUAGAAACUUUCUUCUUCUAGAAAGCAAGAUUUCUUUCUUCCCUCAAAUCCUUUGCAACCCUUGCUCCUUUUCUUCGUCGAUGGCCGAGCAUUAUUCAUGACCUUUUUCUUCUCCAAUAUAAAUGGAGAAUUAGAGUUUUCAUAAGUCAAGAAAUUCAUUAUAAAUAUUGAAAAAUUCAGCUGUCGUCCAUAGCAACAUGUUAACCUGUCAUAAUCUGCUAUGACGGAUCUCAUGGAAGCC
This 520-nucleotide long non-coding RNA is filed under the name Elaeis guineensis (African oil palm). RNAcentral's name for it is "long non-coding RNA (EGUI_LNC007830)". The record is from RNAcentral. Lineage: Eukaryota; Viridiplantae; Streptophyta; Magnoliopsida; Arecales; Arecaceae.